This 487-nucleotide long non-coding RNA is filed under the name Lotus japonicus. RNAcentral's name for it is "long non-coding RNA (LJAP_LNC001038)". The record is from RNAcentral. Lineage: Eukaryota; Viridiplantae; Streptophyta; Magnoliopsida; Fabales; Fabaceae.
UGGUCCAAGGUUUCUUCCACCCCAACACAACGAGGACAAAACGGAGAGCAAUUAACCCCUUUGUUCCACAAACGUGUCCGAGUUGGGACAAUAUUACGAGGAACUCUCCACAUAAAAUGACCUUGUCUUGGCAGAACCUGUAAGUUCCAUAAUUUCUUCCAACCGCUGUCCACAGUAGCUGUAGAAGCUCCCUCAGCUUCAUGUCUCCCCCAGGCUCGGAUACAAUGGUAGGCAGACUUAACCGAGAAUUGGCCAUUAGAAGCAUCAGCCCAUAUCAACUUGUCCUCCGGUUGUACGUUCAGCACAGGUAUUUGGAGCACCUGACUCGCUUCAAAAGGGAGAAAACAGUGUAGCACACGUUCCCUAUCCCACUCAUUCCUAUCCCGAUCAAGCAGUUCAAACACAUGCGUAAACUCACACCUGUGCGGCCUACGAGACCAUACCUUGUGCCCAUGCUGAAGAGGAAGCCAAUUAUCAUCCCAAAUAC